CAAGAUGUUCUCACGCAGAUUUUCAGGAGCCGUGUGAAGCACCGGGCUGCUGCUGGGUUUUAUAUAUACUGGUAAUAAAGAUAACAGCAGCAGCAGCAGCUCACGGUGCAGGCGCCACUUUCACUGAAAAAAAAAUCACCCUAGUUGCUUUUGAGGGGGACUUUUAAUUUCCCUGGAAAAUGUACAAUACACAUGUGGGGAUGGAUCUUCAGUCUGGUUCCAUUAUUUUCUAAUCGUCUGGCAACACAUCAGCAGUGAACAGUUUAAUCUGAGGCUAGUUCUGUGAAGUUUCCCUGCUGUUUCUACAUCUAUCUGUAUAUCAGGAGUAUUUUACCUGCACUCUCAGAGAUGAAUUGCAGAAUUGCAGUGUGAAGUGCAGAUUUGGGGAUGAUGUAAUUGUGAUGUUUGUGUUCCGUCUGGUUUCCACAGCUCCCUCUGCAGUCAUCUGGCUUUAUUAGGAUGCAGCCCACAGCUCCUGCAGUGCUGCUGUGGCUCCCUCCAGCACUGGACACGGUCUUCAAACAGAGGACUUCAAAUGUCCAACUUCCACAAGUGAGAGGCAACGUGACAAAGAUCUUCUCCCCUCGACGGAGAAAGUCACAGCGGCGUCUCUAGCCCAGAGCGAUACAACCUAACGACCCAUGUGAAACCACAGAAGCACUUUGCUGAUGUUAACCAGAGGGAGGGCGAUCACACACUUCCCCUCCAGCGCUCUUAGCAGACAUUAAACGGAUAUGUCCUUGAAUGAAACGUUCACUGGUGCCCGCCGUGCACAAGUGCACACAUCAAACACCGCUGGGAGCGUUGAGCAACAAACCAGACCUGCAGCUGCACGAAAAAGGCAAAUCUUCCUCCCUGCUAAGUGGCUGUGAGAGACCUCGCCAUCGUGUGCAUUACCGGGCUCAUCUGUAGACUCCUCCACUGGUGAACGCAGCCUGUGCAGCAUCACAUCCUCCUGUCCUCAGUCCUAUUUCUGGACCAGCAUCAUCUGCAUCAUCCCAGCCAAGUGGAAGGAAAACACACCUUACGUAACGUUGGCAGACUGGGCCUCGUUCUGCAUUGUGUUUGCUCAAUUCCGCCCGAGCGAGCCCCUCUGCUCACUAAACUGUGUUGAUAUUAUGUAACCAGCAGCCGGGGAGGCUCUGAAAACUGCCUCCGACUGACAAUGGAGGCUGAAAUCAAGGACAGAGGGAUAGGAUGGAGAUAAGGUCACACGGUGUUUUGUGGCUGCGUGGUAGCGUUUCCUGGCAAACGUCUAAACAACAACACUCGUGAUCCCAAUUUCCCCUCGUUAUUCUGCACCUAUUUAACUUUAAACUGUUGUUCCUGCAGCAUGUCCACGGCCGAGCCCCCAGGUCAGACCUCAGCAGUGCUGUGAUGAGAUUAGUGGCGAGCCAGGGCUGCACAGUCACUCUGCCACGCCGCUGCCAUUAACCCACUGCAUGAGCACACAACCGACCACAGGGAGGGAGAGAGAGAACAGGUUCUACCCACCGCCGUCGCCAGCAUCAACAUCAACAUCAACAUGUGGCGAGAGGAUUGUUUGCUGAACUUAAAGACUCCCCUCACUGCUGCCAGCUUCUGGUGAUCUCACAGGUUAAUGAAUGGGAGGGAAUGUCUUUAUAAAACAUGCAGGAAGUAAUGAGGAAGUGCUUCCAGGUGUAGAGAGGAAUCAAUAGCACAGACUAAUUUCCAUCAAAACCAGUGAGACUAGAUAUGUCUCUGCACAUAGUGUGUAUUCUAGUAUUUAAAUACGAGAGCACUGAGGCUAUAAUGAAGUCAGGGGACAGAGGUGUAAGAGAUUCACUGGAUCCAGGUGACAUCACACAUUUUAGUCUUUUUGAGGCUUUUCCUGGCAAAUAUGUAAAUAUCAAUAAAUCCCACAACAACACAUUUGGUCGUAAUUUCACCUUUAAAGGACACAAAGGCUUCGACUUUAUGUCCCAUCAAAGUUUUAUUCAAUGGAUACAUUCAAAUCUAGUUAAAUAAUAAUAUUAAUAAUGAACUUUAUUUAUAUAACAGCUUAGAGAUGAUUUACUAGUUGAAAAUGAAACAGACGUAAAAAAUAAUAACCCCCUAAAUUCAAAGUGGGAUUGUUUCAUGUGUGCAUCUGAUCAAUCACGAUAUAAUUGAGUUUCGCAGCAGAAUCCAUAAUCGAUACGUGCACAUGCAAAGCCACUCACCGUGCGCGUGAAGAGCUUCGUGCACAACGAUCCGCCUCAGGUCUCAGGAGGGAAACUUCCCUCGGUGCACGAGCGACUCAUCGACACCGGGGACCCGCUGUCAGCACCGGAGGCACCGGGCGCAUCUUCGACGGAUCAACGUGACACCGACCGAGGAACCGACCGAGGAACCGGCGGAGGGAGAGCAAGCUGCACGUGAAGUGCGGCCGCCAGCAGCAGCAGCGAACCGGCCGCCGGACCGGAUCACAUCCGCGCCGUGUGGAGCUCCCUCCACCUGUCAAGGUAAAGUAGAGCCGGAGAGACACUUCCGGUGAGCUGUGUCACAAUCAAAGCCUCGGGAAUCCAAUGAGGUGAAAUGGCUGAGUGAUUAACGUUGAUUCCCCCCCCCCCAUAUAUGAUUUUACUCUAUAUUAAUACAAUUAUUUCACCUGUGUGGGUCACAACCACCUAUAGUUAAAGGCUCAGUGUGUAGAAUUUAGUGACAUCUAGUGGUGAAGUGUCAUCAAAUCAAAUCAAAUAAACUUUAUUGUCCCCAUGGGUAGAUUGUUCUCGGGCCAAAAUGCAACAGCAGCUGCAGAACAGUACAUUGUGCAACAAAUAAACUGUGCACAAGGACAAAAACUAAUACUAAUAAUAAUAAUAAUAAUAAUAAUAAUAAUAAUAAACCUUAUUUGGUGUGAAAUUAAAAAGAAAUGCAGCUCAAAGUGCUUUACAUACACUUUAUGUUAUUCACUCCAUAUUUGUGCUUUUACAUCUUGACAUCACAAGACAAAAGCCAGACUUUUAUUUUGAAGAACAAGUGAUCUGGGAUCUGCUCUCGUCCCUGUUGGCUUGACUCAGCUGAUUGGUCAGUCUGUGUGUGUAGAGAAAAAUGACAGAAGUCGCUUGUCAUUGGCUCCCAGCGUCACGUGACAACAAACAACAAACAACGUGAGGUGCAGGCAUCACCUCAUGUUCCAUUAAGGAUGAGAUGACCUUUGUCAAUAACAGAUUAUAACUCUGAUUGAAAACCAAACAAGGUUCUUUGUGCUCAGAGUUUCUAUUUUCUGCUUCAUCCACUUUCCCAUCAGGCUUUAAAUCUCUAACAAAACCUUGUUUGUAUUUAAGUGCUGCACCAACAGGAAACUACUGAGAAUAAACUCAAGUAAUCACUUUGCAUUUUGAAGCUGGCAACUUUCUAUAAGAUAUACAUUUACCAUAUAGCCCACAUGGUAAUUAAAGAACGACUGAUGUGUCAGUUGGCCAAUAAAAAAAUAUAUAGGUCUGUGGUUAUGUUUGCUGAGAUGAAAACUUUUAUUUUACAGAAUAAAUGUUUAUAUUAUA
Long non-coding RNA from Hippoglossus stenolepis (Pacific halibut), 3506 nucleotides. RefSeq lists it as uncharacterized. NCBI's taxonomy places the organism in Eukaryota, Metazoa, Chordata, Actinopteri, Pleuronectiformes, Pleuronectidae. The transcript has 3 exons. The record is from RefSeq and is a predicted model, not a curated record.